UAUAUAUGUCAUACAUGUAUGACAUCAUCACAUUAAGCUUUAGUUGAACCCCUGAUGUAAGUAGACGCCCAAAAGAAAAAUGAUUAACCAGUGGAAUCUAACAUGAGGAGAUAUUUUGUUGGAAACAGGAUUCAUUGCAGAAGUCAUUAAGAGGUAGAAAUCCAGUAGUUUGAGUCAUCUCCAGAAUGCUAUUUCAUCAUCCAGCGCUUCACACUGAAUGAAUUUUAUCCACAUUUGCUGUAGAUCAAAUUUCAUUUUUCAUCUCAAAUGGCUGGAUGCAAUGAGAUACAACCAUAGACUACUUUGAUACAGCUAAAAAACCAUACGAUCCACGAGUUGUAGAUGUGAUACAACUUGUAAAUAUAUGCAUACAUACCUCA
Daphnia magna is the source of this 380-nucleotide long non-coding RNA. RefSeq lists it as uncharacterized. NCBI's taxonomy places the organism in Eukaryota, Metazoa, Arthropoda, Branchiopoda, Diplostraca, Daphniidae. The record is from RefSeq and is a predicted model, not a curated record. The transcript has 2 exons.